UACCAUAUUACCUACAUGUGUUAGCUGGU
Molecule: non-coding RNA, 29 nt
Filed under: Rattus norvegicus (Norway rat)
Lineage: Eukaryota; Metazoa; Chordata; Mammalia; Rodentia; Muridae
Source: RNAcentral